Molecule: long non-coding RNA, 344 nt
Filed under: Lathyrus oleraceus (garden pea)
Lineage: Eukaryota; Viridiplantae; Streptophyta; Magnoliopsida; Fabales; Fabaceae
Description: Pisum sativum (pea) long non-coding RNA (PSAT_LNC017583)
Source: RNAcentral
ACUGACUGUGACUUAGGUGGGGCAAACUUGGCCUGGUGUUGGCAUGGCAUCAUGUGGUGAAGAGAUUGGAGUUCAUCAAGAAUCAUGAAGAAAUUGAGGACCUUGGCAUAUCUUGUAGGAUUAAGGUUUUUAGGAUUAGGAUUAGGUUAGUUGAUUUUAGUCAACUGAUUGAUCAAAAAGUCAACAUUUGACCAAAAUCAACUGUAGGCCAAAAGUAUAUAAUUUUGUGCAAAGAUUUGUAAUUUGUUUCUUUUAUGAUUUAAUGUUGUUUUUGGUAAUGAAAAUUGCCUCUUUUUGGAUGAAUGUAACUUGUUUCUCAAGCAACAAUGCUUCCUUUUGAAUAA